This 66-nucleotide transfer RNA is filed under the name Marmota monax (woodchuck). RNAcentral's name for it is "tRNA.Undet". Lineage: Eukaryota; Metazoa; Chordata; Mammalia; Rodentia; Sciuridae. The record is from RNAcentral.
GGUUGUGGCUCAGUGGUAGAGCACUUGCCUAGCAUGUGCCUAGCAUGGGUUCAAUGCCCGGCACCA